Long non-coding RNA from Bufo bufo (common toad), 1401 nucleotides. RefSeq lists it as uncharacterized. Lineage: Eukaryota; Metazoa; Chordata; Amphibia; Anura; Bufonidae. The transcript is spliced from 2 exons. The record is from RefSeq and is a predicted model, not a curated record.
AGUUACAGAAGUUGUUGUAUUUGAUAGAGGGUUUUCUGGUAGUGCGUAAGGUUACCCUUCAACAGCUGCAAUCAUUACUAGGUUUGCUUUGUUUUGCAUGUCGUGUUAUGCCCAUGGGCCGUGUUUUUUCCAGGCGAUUGUCAUUGGCCACCCGGGGGGCUAAAUCCCCGCAUCAUCGCAUUCGUCUGACUAGGUCCCUGAAAGCCGACUUGCGUGUAUGGCAGGAGUUUCUACACUCUUACAAUGGGCACACGUGUGUGAUCUCUGACGAGAUGCCUAAUUCGGUUCUGUCCCUUUUUUCGGAUGCCUCCGGUGCCUGUGGUUUUGGCACCAUUUUUGGUAAGGAAUGGUGCUCUGCUCCUUGGCUGGAUUUGUGGCGCUCGCAGGGCUUCUGUAAGAAUUUGACGUUGCUGGAGUUAUUUGCGAUCGUGGUGGCGGUGGAGAUUUGGGGUCAGGACCUUUCAGAUCACCACGUGUGCUUUUGGUCUGAUAACCUUAGUGUGGUCCAUUGUAUCAACCGCCUGUCUUCUUCUUCCCUCCCGGUAAUUGCGCUUCUGCGACAUUUGGUCUUGCGUUGCCUGGAGCAUAAUAUCUAUUUCAGGGCUCGACAUGUUCCAGGUGUUGAUAACAGUAUUGCUGAUGCUCUUUCCCGUUUUCGUUGGCAGGUUUUUCGGGAGCUGCUUCCGGAGGCGGAGCACAUCGGGAAGGAAUGUCCGGAGUACCUAUGGCGUUUGGUGGCCAGCAACUGAUGUCCCUGGUUGGGUCUUCGGUGUCUCCAGCGACCUGGCGGGGUCAUGGUAAGGCAUGGGCCGACUGGUUAUCAGGGGUGGGCGCUAGGAACGUUUCCACGCAGGAUUCCCUCCGCUUGGAGGUGACGGUGGAAUGGUUACUCAAACUUAGAUCGAUGGGUGUGUCUGCACCAGUUGCGCAGCGGCGGUUGUCUGGAGUAGCUUUUUUCUUUCGUCUUUGUGGUUGGCCUGAUGUCUCCAAGCAUUUUGUCAUCAGGCAGGCCAUGAAGGGUUGGAAGAAGGAAUAUGUGCUUAAGGAUUGUAGACGGCCUAUUUCGUUUGGCCUGUUGUGUAGGCUGGUCGAAGCAUGUUCGGGGGUGUGUGCUUCAGCGUUUGAAGCAACGUUGUUCUCGGCUUGUUUUAGUUUGGCCUUUUUCGCUGCCCUUCGAGUGGGCGAAUUGCUCCCCCCCUCUGGUAAGAAGCCAGGGGGUUUGUUGUUUCAGGAUGAUUUUGGCACCCAUUCGUUUCGCAUUGGUGCUGCUACGGAGGCGGCCAGAGCUGGCUUGCCGGAGUCGGAGGUAAUGCGCAUUGGUAGGUGGCAAUCUGCCUGUUAUGCCAGGUACAUCAGGCCGGAUCUCUUGAUUUAAAAAAAAAUAAAAUAAAAAAAAUGAUA